UAAGAACCAGGAUUAGAUACCCUGUUACUAAAUAUAUUAUCUAUCUUGAAGUAGUAGUUAUUAUAAAAUUUAAUGGAUUUGGCGGCCAGACAGCUUAUUAGAGGAACCUGCCCUGUAAUUGACAUACCACAAGUUCCUUGCUUUUUUUAGAAAAUACAGUUUGUAUAUCAUUGUUGUCAGUUUAAUUUAAUAAAAUAUUUUCUUAAAUUAUAAAGUUACCGACUUCAAAUAAUGUAGCAGCUAAUAAAAAAGAUAGAGGUGGGUUACAAUUUUAAAAGUAAAAACGAAUUAGUAAAUUAAAAUAGCUUUGAAGGAGGAUUUAAUAGUAAAUUAAAAAUAAAUUGAUUAUUAGCUCUGUCUUGUGUACAUACCGCCCGUCGCUCUCUUUUU
RNAcentral lists this ribosomal RNA (390 nucleotides) under Rostratoverruca intexta. Its description in RNAcentral is "partial 12S ribosomal RNA". Lineage: Eukaryota; Metazoa; Arthropoda; Thecostraca; Verrucomorpha; Verrucidae. The record is from RNAcentral.